RNAcentral lists this ribosomal RNA (1338 nucleotides) under Triticum aestivum (bread wheat). Its description in RNAcentral is "partial small subunit ribosomal RNA". Lineage: Eukaryota; Viridiplantae; Streptophyta; Magnoliopsida; Poales; Poaceae. The record is from RNAcentral.
AUGGCCUCGACGGCGGCGCCGGUCGCCGGACGCCGAACUCAGUCGGUGCUCACGGACCUCCGCGACGAGCUCCUGGAGGAGAUUUUCCUCCGCCUGCCCACCCCGGCGGAGCUCGCGCGCGCCUGCACCGCGCGCGCCUCCUUCCGCCGCAUCAUCACCGAGCGCUCCUUCCUCCGCAGCUACCGCAAACGCCACCCGCCGCCGCUCCUGGGGUUCGUGGAUGACGAAGUUGGCUGUGGCUUCCACCCCGCCCAGGCGCCCCACCCCUCCGCCCCGCUCGCCCGUGCCCUCGCCGACGCAGCCGAUUUCACCUACUCCUUCGUCCCCAAACACGGCGAGGGGCACGUGUGGGUCCCGUGCGACGCCCGUGAUGGCCGUGUCCUUCUCGAAGACGGACAAAUUUGGGAGGCCUUCAGACACCUUGCCGUCUGCGAUCCAUUGUUUCGCCGCUACGCGCUGCUCCCACCCGUUCCGUGGAACCUGGCACUCCAGGAGAAAGGCACUGUACGAACCAAGUACUUACUCAUGCCCGUUGCCGAGGGUGAGGAUGAGACAUUGUUCAAGGUGAUAUGCUUGGCUAACUAUAAUACCAAGCUGGUUGCAUUUCUAUUCUCUUCCGUCACAGGAGAAUGGUGCAUAGCCGCAACUAUCAGCUGGAGCUCUUUGGGUAGCCAGAUGUGGCAACACUUCAGAGGUUGCGAAUACCGUGGCGUGUCCUGUUUUGACUGCGCGCGCGGCUCCUACUACUCGGCAUCGACUUUUAACGACAAGCUGCUUGUGUUGGACACAAGGAAAAUGGAGUUUUGCACUGUCGAUGAUCGUACUGGCUACCAUAUAAACCUCAGAUGUCUGCCUGGCCAGCACGAAGACGUUCUGGACAUCUAUGUGCCAUCCCGAUGCCGGCCUGGCCAGAGUAGAAGUCUGCCCCGCAUUGUUGUGGGUAGAGAAGGAGCCCUUGAGAUGUUUUCUCUUGUUGGUGAUCACACUCCAAAUGGCUCUUUUCAUCUCUAUCAUACCAGUCAGCAAAAUAAUGGCCAGUCUUCCAAGGAAUGGCAGCUGGAGAAUAUUAUACCGUUGCCCGGCAAGUAUGACUAUUUCACUGUGGGUGCAGCUGAGGGAUUCUUAUUCCUUGGAGCCACUACAGAAGAUCAGCUGGACAUUGUUGAAGGCGACCCUAUGAGCUUGUUGACGACUGAGUGGAAUGUAGAUUAUUUUGCAUUGGAUGUCAAGACUUCUGAACUUACUAAGGUUUGUAGGAGGAGGAGGCAAUUCUUCCAUAAAGAAGAUGUUCACUGCUACUUUGGCUUCCCCCGGUCGUUGUCAAAACCGAGUAUAUGA